CAGUGCCUGUUUGAACAUUUGGGGUGGACAUGUCUCUGUAUGUGUACAUCUCAUGUUUCCUUUGUACUACCAUGAUCCUUCUUGGCUCACAGAGCAAAAGUGGGCGUGCCAUACUAGAUUGUCCUGUACCACGUCUACCGUGUCUCACGAUUGAUACUAAAGUCUUUCAGAGUUGAAAGUAUCCUUGUAAGAAAUAACAAGAUGAGACUCAGGGAGAGCAAAUCAAGAGACUUGAUCAAAGCAAUCUUGGUAGUAAUCAUCAGAGACUGCUGAAGACCAUGGACUUGAAUAGCAGGGGGACUUCUGCUUCUCCAUCCAUCGUGCUGUUCUCUAAAGCACAUCACCAGAGCAUGACGACAGGCCCUCCACAGACUGAUUUUGCAGGCUUCCCAAAGGACAACACGUGUCGGAGAGCCAGUACGUUGCCUGCUAUGUGAAACCAUAAUGAGAAGAGUCUUCAGAUUUAAAAUGGACAGAGCAUGAGUUAUGAAACCCACAGCCCUAAACAUGUGUCCCACAGCUCUUUUUAUGUCACACAAUUGUACAAAAGAUCUGGCUCUAGUUACACGCACUUGUGAAUGUCCUGUUCUAGAAGCUAUUUGCUGAGCUUCAGAUUGGCAUCUGUCCCUCUUGGUUUUUCAUCCAUGUGGGAGAACUAUGCCAAGAGAGCACAGCAUGGGCUUUGUGAGGGUGAAGAGUCAGCUUUGCCUAAUCGCUUCUUACUGGGUAGGCAGGAGUGCUGUUUGGCCAGAGCCAGCUUUUGUUUGGAUCAGGUCAUUUCCCAGCCUUCCCACUGGCUAACAAAGCAAUUCUCUGCUACUGCAGAGCAAGCCUGGGCUCUGUUGAACGAUCAUCACCCUGGGCCUAGAAUCCUCCAUUCAUCACCCAGGAAGCACUGUCAUCAUCACACCAUUUUCCUAUCUGACAUGGCACAGCGCCUGAGAUACCUCAGCACAUUCAGCAGAGCCAGCCUGGAUCAAAAAUUUGAGGGAAAAGAUCAGACAGCCAUUUGUUUCUAUAACCAAAAAGCCACAUUGAUGGCUGAAAUUGUUGAUAGCUGUUGCAUUUUCACAUCCUGGCAUGGGGGUUAGAGACGGGAUGGGGAGCAGGGGCAAGAAUAAAUAUUUGCUAGUACAUUACUUUCCUUUUAGAAUAGGAAUGGAAAAUAUUUGCUCAUUUGCAAAGGUAAUUAAGAAAACAGUCCCAGCUCUCCAGGCCUGAGGUCUUUUGAAACCCAGAAAUUCCCAGUGGAAUGCUUCUUGAUGGCAAGAUUAAAUUCCCUUUAUAUCCAUGUACAUACAGGAUCUGGCAUGUUUCCUGGCAGCCCACCUCCUAAUAGAUUUAUGGAAUGAAAUUGUGACUCUUUGUAGCAGAAGUUGAUUUAUUUUUCCACCACAAAGUUAGUGGGUUAGACAGAAGAAAACAGUAAGCACACACACUUAUUGUAACUUUACUGUUAUAAAGUGUGAAUGUAAAGAAGAAAGGACUGAGGGGACAAGAUUACCAUUUUCAAUGUUUGAAAGGCUGUUAAAUCAAGGAGGAUUUGAUUUGUUUUUGGUGCCAGUGCACAGAACUAGGUACCUUGGCCGCUAAAGACAAGGAAGAUCUUCCUAAUCCAGAAAACAAACAACAAAUUUUUAUUCAGAACCCACGGUGUCCUACAUGCUGUAUUAGGCAAAAAAGAAGCCGGAUCUGCACUCCGAGAACUUCCGUUCUUUCAGGGGAAACAGCACAGAUCAUAGGGUACAACCUGUCCACAUAUGAGACCCCCACAAAAUGCACACAAAAUAGGUAAUUUUUUUUUGAACAGGUACUAGCAGUAGGGUAGACCAAGAAAGGUCUCAUGUAGCAGGAGAUAUUUGAGAUGAGCUAAAGGGAGCUAAGGAUUCUGAGAGGAAGAGGUAGAGGUGAGGAGGAAAGGUGUUCCAGGCACGAGGGAAGACCCAGAGAUAGAAUGGUACACGUAAGAAACAGCAGGAAGUCCAGUUUACCUGCAACUCAGAGUGUGUAAAGGGGAGGAAAUGUAUCUAGAAAGGAAGGAUGAAACUAGGCUGAAAAGGGCUUGAAAUGCCAAGCAGAGGAGUUUGUAUGGUAUCUAAGAAUUAUUAAUAAUAAUGUAUAGGGCUCUAAGGCUUACAAAACCCAGGGCCUCACAGUUAAUGUGUCCGAAGUGGAAUUUGAACUCAGGUCUUCCUGACUCCAGGUCUACCUAGCUGUACAAAUUAAUUCCUUUUACUAUCUUUGACUACUCUCAAAAUGUUGUUUUCCCAGCAUAAUAUUUAGCAAUUUGACAACAUUUUGAAUGGACGAAGUACUCAAACCUGUCAUUCUUUGCCUCUCAAAAGGGGACGGUGAGGAAUAUUAUUUUGAAGAUAGGAAAAAAUAUGUGUAGCACAGAAAGGCCAUAUUACCUAGGCAUGUAGAAUAAUAGUAAUUGCUCAGGUUUGUCAACUCCCAGGAAAAUUCACUAGCCCAAAAGCCAGUGGCAUUUUUAGAUUUGAACAUCAAAAGUGAGAUUUAGCUGGGCCAAUUGAUACAUAGAAUGUUACCGGAAAGGCAAAGGCUUUGGGGAAGUGGGAGUGUGGGAAGGAAAUGGAAAACACUGACGUGGGAGAAUGUAUGUCUAUGUAUACAUAUUGGUUCAAUUAAACACCUACUACAGUUAGUUCUGCUACAACAUGAAAGUGUGUUCCUAAAAAUCACAGAGUCAAACAACAACAAAAAACACAGGGCUUAUGAGGAAAAUGAGAGACAAAUACUUCAUGGGUGACAUAAAAGAAGAUAGGAACCUAAUAAAAAUAGUAGCACAGAUUUGUAAAUGUUAAAUGGUUUUUUAAAAACCCCAACGUAUACACUACUGUAGUGAGAGUAAGUUUAAGUACCUUAAUAAAAUACUGAGAAAUUUGCCAAUUUUUUUUUGGCUAGGCAAUUAGGGUUAAGUGACUUGCCCAGGGUCGAAGAUUGUCAAUUUAGCAUAACAGAUAAUGUGGUGCAGUAAGUUCUAUUACCAUCAUAAGAUAGUUUAUCAACUCAGCAUGAUGGAUUUCAUUUUGUUGUAAGCUUCCAUUUUGGGACUAAGUAGAUGGCACAAUAGAUAGAGGGUCUGGAGUCAGGAAGCCCCGAGUUCAAAUUCAGCCUCAGAUAUUUGCUAACUGUGUGACUCUGGGCUAGUCAUUUUACCUCUGUCUUCAUUUCCUCAAUAGGAAAAUGGCAGUAAUUACAGCAUCUACUUCACAGGGUUGUUGUGAGAAUCAAAGAGAGAAUAUUUGAAAACUGUUUAGUACAGCACCUGGCACAUAGUAGGCACUGCAUAAACACUUACUCCCUUCCCUAAUAAGUUGUUUUUUAAAAAUAAGAUAAUCAUCUGUGUGGUAUGAUGUGGUAAACAACAUGAGUGUAUUCUUGUAAACAGUUGACAAACACAUGCAGUCCCUCCUUCUUCUGACUACCAUUUCUGCCAUUGGUACCACCAUUCAAAUAGUUUUCCAGCUUCAAAAUUUUGUUAUCAUCUUUGACUCUUCCCUUCUGUUUAGUUUUCAAAUAAAAUUACUC
Vombatus ursinus (common wombat) is the source of this 3552-nucleotide long non-coding RNA. RefSeq lists it as uncharacterized. The record is from RefSeq and is a predicted model, not a curated record. The transcript has 3 exons. Lineage: Eukaryota; Metazoa; Chordata; Mammalia; Diprotodontia; Vombatidae.